This 66-nucleotide transfer RNA is filed under the name Meroles squamulosus. Its description in RNAcentral is "tRNA-Glu". Lineage: Eukaryota; Metazoa; Chordata; Lepidosauria; Squamata; Lacertidae. The record is from RNAcentral.
UUUUAGUAGUUGAAUAACAACAGCAGUGUUUCAGAUUGCAGGUUUUGGUGUAGCCAAAUUAAAAUA